This 254-nucleotide ribosomal RNA is filed under the name uncultured bacterium. Its description in RNAcentral is "partial 16S ribosomal RNA". It matches the Rfam family "Bacterial small subunit ribosomal RNA", at positions 524 to 776 of the family's 1533-position model. The record is from RNAcentral.
UACGGGGGGAGCAAGCGUUGUUCGGAUUUACUGGGCGUAAAGGGCGCGUAGGCGGUCAGCACAAGUCAGUUGUGAAAUCUCCGGGCUUAACUCGGAAAGGUCAACUGAUACUGUGCGACUAGAGUGCGGAAGGGGCAACUGGAAUUCUCGGUGUAGCGGUGAAAUGCGUAGAUAUCGAGAGGAACACCAGUGGCGAAGGCGGCUCACUGGCUCGAUACUGACGCUGAGGUGCGAAAGCGUGGGGAGCAAACAGG